This 253-nucleotide ribosomal RNA is filed under the name uncultured bacterium. RNAcentral's name for it is "partial 16S ribosomal RNA". It matches the Rfam family "Bacterial small subunit ribosomal RNA", at positions 524 to 776 of the family's 1533-position model. The record is from RNAcentral.
UACAGAGGGUGCGAGCGUUGUUCGGAAUUAUUGGGCGUAAAGAGCGUGUAGGCGGCCAGGUAGGUCUGCUGUGAAAACUCGAGGCUCAACCUCGAGACGUCGGCGGAAACCAUCUGGCUAGAGUCCGGAAGAGGAGAGUGGAAUUCCUGGUGUAGCGGUGAAAUGCGCAGAUAUCAGGAAGAACACCCGUGGCGAAGGCGGCUCUCUGGGACGGUACUGACGCUGAGGCGCGAAAGCGUGGGUAGCAAACAGG